AAGUCACACAGACGAGCCGAGAGGUUAUCCGAGUGACUUCCGCAUGAGAUGUCUUUUGUCAUCUGUAAAUAGGCGGGCGAAUAGGGAGAGGGCAAGCCUGGUGUCACCCGCCGCGGUAAUACCAGCUCCUCGAGUGGUCGGGGCGAUUAUUGGGCCUAAAGCAUCCGAUAGCCGGUUCCGUAGGUCCUCUGUUAAAUCCAACCGCUAAACGGUUGACCUGCAAAGGAUACCGCGGGACUAGAAGGCGGGAAAGGCGAACGGUACUCCGCGUGUAGGGGUAAAAUCCUUUGAUCCGCGAAAAACCACCAUUGGCAAAGGCGGUCCGCCAAAACGCGCUCAACGGUAAGGGAUGAAAGCUGGGGAAGCGAACCGGAUUAAAUACCCGGGUAGUCCCAGCCGUAAACAAUGCUAGCUAGAUAAUUCAUUCGCAAGUCGCGAAUGAAUUGUCGCAGGGAACCCGUUAAGCUAGCCGCCUGGGGAGUACGGUCGCAAAACUGAAACUUAAAGGAAUUGCGGGGGGAGACAAAAA
RNAcentral lists this ribosomal RNA (529 nucleotides) under uncultured archaeon. Its description in RNAcentral is "bacterial SSU rRNA". It matches the Rfam family "Archaeal small subunit ribosomal RNA", at positions 354 to 884 of the family's 1478-position model. The record is from RNAcentral.